Molecule: unclassified non-coding RNA, 420 nt
Filed under: uncultured Physalospora
Lineage: Eukaryota; Fungi; Ascomycota; Sordariomycetes; Amphisphaeriales; Hyponectriaceae
Description: sequence contains ITS1
Rfam family: 5.8S ribosomal RNA (bases 1-103)
Source: RNAcentral
GAAAUGCGAUACGUAAUGCGAAUUGCAGAAUCCAGUGAGUCAUCGAAACUUUGAACGCACCUUGCGCUUCCGGGUAACCGGGAGCAUGUCUGUUGGAGUGCCUGUUCUCAACCACAACUUCCUCCUUUUGCUCCCUGUUUUUUUGCUGGGGCUGUGAGGCAGGAGUGUGUCUGCUUUGUGUUCUGCCACCGGAACAACACUGCAAUGAGAUGAAAGGCUCUUCAAUGCGCCUGCUCGCUUUGUUGGCUGAGAUUUUCCCUUUUCUCAACAGAUUCCCAACCCCCCGCUGGUUGUGAAUGUCGUGAUUGUUUUUCAACCCAAAAAGAAAACGCACAGCCAACAAAGCACAACGCACGCACAUUAACACACACACAUCCCAUAUCGGGCCUCCAAUCAGACAAGAAGACCCGCUGAAUUUAA